AGCCUGAUCAGCCAUGCCGCGUGAGUGAUGAAGGCCCUAGGGUUGUAAAGCUCUUUCGGCGGGGAAGAUAAUGACGGUACCCGCAGAAGAAGCCCCGGCUAACUUCGUGCCAGCACCGCGGUA
Molecule: ribosomal RNA, 123 nt
Filed under: uncultured Alphaproteobacteria bacterium
Lineage: Bacteria; Pseudomonadati; Pseudomonadota; Alphaproteobacteria
Description: partial 16S ribosomal RNA
Rfam family: Bacterial small subunit ribosomal RNA
Source: RNAcentral